UUAAUGUUACCGCGGACAUCGGUGUCAAUGCACAUCAUAGUGAUGUACUUUCCAAUAUGUAACACAUCCGAGACCUUGGAGACCUGAUGUCACUGUGCCUUUGUACACACCACCAACAACUAUUUCACGACCAAUGAUGAAGUCAACCUAAGGACAUGCAUAGGUCCGAUCAAGCUACGAAGUGCAUCGUUGGUGUACUUCAAAGUUGCUGCAAGACAGACGUAACUGUUUAGUUUGAAGAGAGGAAG
Brassica oleracea var. oleracea is the source of this 248-nucleotide long non-coding RNA. RefSeq lists it as uncharacterized. The transcript has 3 exons. NCBI's taxonomy places the organism in Eukaryota, Viridiplantae, Streptophyta, Magnoliopsida, Brassicales, Brassicaceae. The record is from RefSeq and is a predicted model, not a curated record.